This 468-nucleotide ribosomal RNA is filed under the name uncultured bacterium. RNAcentral's name for it is "partial 16S ribosomal RNA". It matches the Rfam family "Bacterial small subunit ribosomal RNA", at positions 28 to 507 of the family's 1533-position model. The record is from RNAcentral.
GACGAACGCUGGCGGCGUGCUUAACACAUGCAAGUCGAACGGAAAGGCCCUGCUUUUGUGGGGUGCUCGAGUGGCGAACGGGUGAGUAACCCGUGAGUAACCUGCCCUUGACUUUGGGAUAACUUCAGGAAACUGGGGCUAAUACCGGAUAGGAGCUCCUGCUGCAUGGUGGGGGUUGGAAAGUUUCGGCGGUUGGGGAUGGACUCGCGGCUUAUCAGCUUGUUGGUGGGGUAGUGGCUUACCAAGGCUUUGACGGGUAGCCGGCCUGAGAGGGUGACCGGCCACAUGGGGACUGAGAUACGGCCCAGACUCCUACGGGAGGCAGCAGUGGGGAAUAUUGCACAAUGGGCGGAAGCCUGAUGCAGCAACGCCGCGUGCGGGAUGACGGCCUUCGGGUUGUAAACCGCUUUCGCCUGUGACGAAGCGUGAGUGACGGUAAUGGGUAAAGAAGCACCGGCUAACUACGUG